Molecule: microRNA, 21 nt
Filed under: Ananas comosus (pineapple)
Lineage: Eukaryota; Viridiplantae; Streptophyta; Magnoliopsida; Poales; Bromeliaceae
Description: microRNA s1694_c111b
Source: RNAcentral
CCAUACCGUUAAACAUAAUUU